AGUGAACGCUGGCGGUAGGCCUAACACAUGCAAGUCGAACGGCAGCACAGUAAGAGCUUGCUCUUACGGGUGGCGAGUGGCGGACGGGUGAGGAAUACAUCGGAAUCUACUUUUUCGUGGGGGAUAACGUAGGGAAACUUACGCUAAUACCGCAUACGACCUACGGGUGAAAGCAGGGGAUAUUCGGACCUUGCGCGAUUGAAUGAGCCGAUGUCGGAUUAGCUGGUUGGCGGGGUAAAGGCCCACCAAGGCGACGAUCCGUAGCUGGUCUGAGAGGAUGGUCGCCCACACUGGAACUGAGACACGGUCCAGACUCCUACGAGAGGCAGCAGUGGGGAAUAUUGGGCAAUGGGCGCAAGCCUGAUCCAGCCAUACCGCGUGGGUGAAGAAGGCCUUCGGGUUGUAAAGCCCUUUUGUUGGGAAAGAAAAGCAGCAGGUUAAUACCCCGCUGUUCUGACGGUACCCAAAGAAUAAGCACCGGCUAACUUCGUG
This 492-nucleotide ribosomal RNA is filed under the name uncultured bacterium. RNAcentral describes it as "partial 16S ribosomal RNA". It matches the Rfam family "Bacterial small subunit ribosomal RNA", at positions 29 to 507 of the family's 1533-position model. The record is from RNAcentral.